CAAAAGAUACAAAGCCAAAGACUCAUACGGACUUCGGCUACACCAUGAAAGUUUUGAGAAGCAAUAAGAAGCUUGGUUAGUGUUUUGGAAUCAAAUAUGACUAGAUGUAAUGUGUAUGAUUGAGUAUAAGAACUAGAACGGCAACCGAUUCCCAAUAGCUAAAGUUAUGUUUCCCUGUUAGAAGAUACAAAGCCAAAAACUCAUACGGACUUCGGAUACACCAUCAAAAUUUUGAGAAGCAAUAAGAAGCUUGGUUAGUAUUUUAGAGUCAAAUAUUACAGGAUGUCAUGUGUAUCAUUGAGUAUAAGAACUAGAACCGCAACCAAUUCCCAAAAGCUAAAGUAAUGUUUCCUUGUUUGAAGAUACAAAACCAAAGAGUCAUACGGACAUCGGCUACACCAUCAAAGCUUUGUA
Molecule: small RNA, 414 nt
Filed under: Arabidopsis thaliana (thale cress)
Lineage: Eukaryota; Viridiplantae; Streptophyta; Magnoliopsida; Brassicales; Brassicaceae
Description: ATSL197770
Source: RNAcentral